RNAcentral lists this ribosomal RNA (338 nucleotides) under uncultured Pseudomonadota bacterium. Its description in RNAcentral is "bacterial SSU rRNA". It matches the Rfam family "Bacterial small subunit ribosomal RNA", at positions 29 to 351 of the family's 1533-position model. Lineage: Bacteria; Pseudomonadati; Pseudomonadota. The record is from RNAcentral.
AACGAACGUUAGCGGCGCGCUUAACACAUGCAAGUCGCACGAGAAAGGGCUUCGGCCCCGGUAAAGUGGCGCACGGGGUGAGUAACACGUGGGUAACCUGCCCUCGAGCGGGGGAUAACAUUCCGAAAGGAGUGCUAAUACCGCAUAAGACCACGACCUCGAAAGAGGACGAGGUCAAAGCUGGCCUCUGUAUACACGCUAGCACUUGAGGAUGGGCCCGCGGAGCAUCAGCUAGUUGGUAGGGUAAUGGCCUACCAAGGCUAAGACGCUUAGCUGGUCUGAGAGGAUGAUCAGCCACACUGGAACUGAGACACGGUCCAGACUCCUACGGGUGGCAG